RNAcentral lists this ribosomal RNA (497 nucleotides) under uncultured bacterium. Its description in RNAcentral is "partial 16S ribosomal RNA". It matches the Rfam family "Bacterial small subunit ribosomal RNA", at positions 28 to 507 of the family's 1533-position model. The record is from RNAcentral.
GAUGAACGCUGGCGGCGUGCCUAAUACAUGCAAGUCGAGCGAACGGACGAGAAGCUUGCUUCUCUGAUGUUAGCGGCGGACGGGUGAGUAACACGUGGAUAACCUACCUAUAAGACUGGGAUAACUUCGGGAAACCGUAGCUAAUACCGGAUAAUAUUUUGAACCGCAUGGUUCAAUAGUGAAAGACGGUCUUGCUGUCACUUAUAGAUGGAUCCGCGCUGCAUUAGCUAGUUGGUAAGGUAACGGCUUACCAAGGCAACGAUGCAUAGCCGACCUGAGAGGGUGAUCGGCCACACUGGAACGGAGACACGGUCCAGACUCCUACGGGAGGCAGCAGUAGGGAAUCUUCCGCAAUGGGCGAAAGCCUGACGGAGCAACGCCGCGUGAGUGAUGAAGGUCUUCGGAUCGUAAAACUCUGUUAUUAGGGAAGAACAUAUGUGUAAGCAACUGUGCACAUCUUGACGGUACCUAAUCAGAAAGCCACGGCUAACUACGUG